CCUACGGGAGGCAGCAGUGAGGAAUAUUGGUCAAUGGCCGUAAGGCUGAACCAGCCAAGUCGCGUGAGGGAAGACUGCCCUAUGGGUUGUAAACCUCUUUUAUGCGGGGAUAAAGGUGUCCACGUGUGGCUGUUUGCAGGUACCGCAUGAAUAAGGACCGGCUAAUCCCGUGCCAGCAGCCGCGGUAAUACGGAAGGUCCGGGCGUUACACGGAUUUAUUGGGGUUAAAGGGAGCGUAGGCCGGUCUUUAAGCGUGCCGUGAAAUUUUGUGGCUCAACCAUGAGAGUGCGGCGCGAACUGGAGACCUUGAGUGCGCGGAAGGCAGGCGGAAUUCGUGGUGUAGCGGUGAAAUGCUUAGAUAUCACGAAGAACCCCGAUUGCGAAGGCAGCCUGCCGCAGCGUUACUGACGCUGAAGCUCGAAAGCGCGGGUAUCGAACAGGAUUAGAUACCCUGGUAGUC
RNAcentral lists this ribosomal RNA (460 nucleotides) under uncultured bacterium. RNAcentral describes it as "partial 16S ribosomal RNA". It matches the Rfam family "Bacterial small subunit ribosomal RNA", at positions 338 to 795 of the family's 1533-position model. The record is from RNAcentral.